This 946-nucleotide ribosomal RNA is filed under the name uncultured archaeon. RNAcentral's name for it is "bacterial SSU rRNA". It matches the Rfam family "Archaeal small subunit ribosomal RNA", at positions 1 to 922 of the family's 1478-position model. The record is from RNAcentral.
UUCCGGUUGAUCCUGCCGGACCCCACUGCUAUCGGGAUAGGACUAAGACAUGCUAGUCGAGCGCCUUCCAGCCACGAAGAAGGCGCGGCACACAGCUCAGUAACACGUAGCUAACCUGCCCUCGGGACGAGAACACCCCCGGGAAACUGGGGCUAAUUCUCGAUAGGCGAAGAACUCUGGAAUGAGUCUUUACCCAAAAGACGUUUAGAUCAUGCUUCUAGGCGUCGCCCAAGGAUGGGGCUGCGACCGAUCAGGUAGUUGGUGAGGCAAUGGCUCACCAAGCCUUUAACCGGUGCGGGCCGUGGGAGCGGGAGCCCGGAGAUGGGCACUGAGACAAGGGCCCAGGCCCUACGGGGCGCAGCAGUCGCGAAAACUUUGCAAUAAGCGAAAGCUUGACAGGGCUAUCCCGAGUGCCAUCCGCUGAGGAAGGCUUUUACCCAGUCUAGUAAGCUGGGGGAAUAAGGAGAGGGCAAGUCUGGUGUCAGCCGCCGCGGUAAUACCAGCUCUCCGAGUGGUGUGGAUGUUUAUUGGGCCUAAAGCAUCCGUAGCUGGCUGAGUUAGUCCCCUGUUAAAUCCACCGAAUCAAUCGUUGGAUUGCGGGGGAUACUGCUCGGCUAGGGGACGGGAGAGGCAGACGGUAUUUCCGGGGUAAGGGUGAAAUCUUAUAAUCCCGGGAAGACCACCAGUGGCGAAGGCUGUCUGCUAGAACGCGCCCGACGGUGAGGGAUGAAAGCUGGGGUAGCGAACCGGAUUAGAUACCCGGGUAGUCCCAGCCGUAAACGAUGCAGGCUAGGUGUUUGGGCGGCCACGUGCCGCUCUAGUGCCGCAGGGAAGCUGUUAAGCCUGCCGCCUGGGGAGUACGAUCGCAAGAUUGAAACUUAAAGGAAUUGGCGGGGGAGCACCACANAGGGGUGAAGCUUGCGGUUUAAUUGGAUUCAACGCCGGA